Molecule: ribosomal RNA, 729 nt
Filed under: Streptomyces sp. YIM024
Lineage: Bacteria; Bacillati; Actinomycetota; Actinomycetes; Kitasatosporales; Streptomycetaceae
Description: bacterial SSU rRNA
Rfam family: Bacterial small subunit ribosomal RNA
Source: RNAcentral
GCAGUCGAACGAUGAAGUCCACUUCGGUGGUGGAUUAGUGGCGAACGGGUGAGUAACACGUGGGCAAUCUGCCCUUCACUCUGGGACAAGCCCUGGAAACGGGGUCUAAUACCGGAUAACACUCUGUCCCGCAUGGGACGGGGUUGAAAGCUCCGGCGGUGAAGGAUGAGCCCGCGGCCUAUCAGCUUGUUGGUGGGGUAAUGGCCUACCAAGGCGACGACGGGUAGCCGGCCUGAGAGGGCGACCGGCCACACUGGGACUGAGACACGGCCCAGACUCCUACGGGAGGCAGCAGUGGGGAAUAUUGCACAAUGGGCGAAAGCCUGAUGCAGCGACGCCGCGUGAGGGAUGACGGCCUUCGGGUUGUAAACCUCUUUCAGCAGGGAAGAAGCGAAAGUGACGGUACCUGCAGAAGAAGCGCCGGCUAACUACGUGCCAGCAGCCGCGGUAAUACGUAGGGCGCAAGCGUUGUCCGGAAUUAUUGGGCGUAAAGAGCUCGUAGGCGGCUUGUCACGUCGGAUGUGAAAGCCCGGGGCUUAACCCCGGGUCUGCAUUCGAUACGGGCUAGCUAGAGUGUGGUAGGGGAGAUCGGAAUUCCUGGUGUAGCGGUGAAAUGCGCAGAUAUCAGGAGGAACACCGGUGGCGAAGGCGGAUCUCUGGGCCAUUACUGACGCUGAGGAGCGAAAGCGUGGGGAGCGAACAGGAUUAGAUACCCUGGUAGUCCACGCC